This 1507-nucleotide long non-coding RNA is filed under the name Marmota monax (woodchuck). The record is from RNAcentral. Lineage: Eukaryota; Metazoa; Chordata; Mammalia; Rodentia; Sciuridae.
AGCAGCUGGCCUGGAUGGAGCCCACAGUGGACGCCCUCUUCUACUCGUGCCAGAGAACUGAGGUGAGGGCCCUUCUGUCCUUCCUGUCUGCAGAGCUGGGGGCAUCUGGGGGUGAGGAGGUUGCCAUGGGCUGAGUGUUUCCCCCAAAUUCCAUGUUGACCCCUGCCCGCAGGGGACUGCACUGGGACGGACCCUCCCAGGAAGUGAUUAAGGUAAAAUGAAGGUAGGGCCCUGUCCAAUGGCUCUGUGUCCUCCGAAGAGACACCAGGGCUACUUCACUGCAACCACUCACCAAGGAAAGACCACGUGAGGACACGGAGAAGGGGGUCUUCUCUCAUCAGAAACUGACCCUGGUGGGGCUUGAUCUUGGACUUCUAAUCCCCACAUGGUGAGAAAUACAUCGUGCUGGUUCAGCUGCCCUGUGUGUGGUAUUCUGUUAAAGCAGCCCAGCUGACUAACCCAGGUGGGUGGUGGACGUGGGUGUUCAGAAAGACUGUCACAGCUAGCCACGCUUGUUGACUGGUGGCCUCGGCACCAGCUGACGAGAGCUCGGAUGGCCCUGUUCCCGCCCCUCUGAGCCCUGGCCCUGCCUUCAGUAGCCAGGGCCCGGCAUGUGCUGCCCUGCCUGGAUCCACUCAGCCUCUGGUUCCUGAUCCCAGAAGAGUCCAUGUGCACGCCCCCCAAGACUCCUGUGUGAACAGCAGUGAGCAGCGGCAGGUAGCCCUGAGCAUCUGGGUCAGCCAACGGGGCAAGUACAGGCUCAAGGCCAGUGUCCACUCACCCUCACCUAGCACUCACUCUGUUCUCGGCACUCUCUGUGCGUGAAGCCAUCGAGGAUCACAGGAACCCUGAGGGCUAACCCGCCAAGCUGCUGCUACCCUCCUUUUACAGAGGAGGAAAGCGCCUCAGCAGUGUGGCACGGCUGGUCCAAGGACAGCAGUAGCAAGGGCAGAGACAGCAUCCCGCCUGGGCCCGCGGGCCGGGUCCCCUGCCCAGCACGGUGCUGUCAGGCCAGGGUGGACAGGAGCUUCUGUAGCUCAAGCCCGGAGCCCAGUGAAGUACAAAGCAGGGACCUUCUCUGACCCCUGGGGAAAGUCUCCCGGGAGGUCAAGUCUGAGUGGUGACCUGAAGAUGGUACGGGUGGCUGGGCCAGGUGUCCUGGGGCGUCCUGUGGGAUGGGAGGACCCAGGUGCAGAGGCAGAGGCCCACGCCCUGGAGGGUCUGAGAACUGCGGAGGCUCUCAACAGGACCAGAAAGAUCACGUGGCUACCGCGUGAGGAGUGGGCUGGAGGCCUGGGAUCGGAGCCGCAGCUCGGCCACUGAGGCAGCCGCUGGAGGGAUGGCAGCGGGCCCUGAGCAGGUCUGCGGGCGGCUCUGACCCAGGCUUGGAGGCGACUGGGAAUCAUCUGGAAGCGUGGGAGCGGCUCCACCAGACCCUGAGGAAACCCAGUCCUGGUGAUAAGCACAGGCCUAUUUUAAUAUAAAAAAUCACAAUAAAAUAAAGCAG